CACGUCUGUGAUGUUUUCCUCCUGUUUGAGCUCACGGCUGUGAAACGGCUUUACAUGCACUACCAUCUGAGACGUG
RNAcentral lists this small nucleolar RNA (76 nucleotides) under Leptobrachium leishanense (Leishan spiny toad). Lineage: Eukaryota; Metazoa; Chordata; Amphibia; Anura; Megophryidae. The record is from RNAcentral.